UACGUAGGGCGCAAGCGUUGUCCGGAAUUAUUGGGCGUAAAGCGCACGCAGGCGGUCUUUUAAGUUUCGAGUGACAGGUGGUGGCUUAACUACCACAGGCCUUGGAAAACUGGAAGACUUGAGGACGAGAGAGGGACGCGGAAUUCCAGGUGGAGCGGUGAAAUGCGUAGAGAUCUGGAAGAACACCAAAGGCGAAGGCAGCGUUCUGGCUCGUAACUGACGCUCAUGUGCGAAAGCCAGGGGAGCGAACGGG
This 253-nucleotide ribosomal RNA is filed under the name uncultured bacterium. RNAcentral's name for it is "partial 16S ribosomal RNA". It matches the Rfam family "Bacterial small subunit ribosomal RNA", at positions 524 to 776 of the family's 1533-position model. The record is from RNAcentral.